This 182-nucleotide non-coding RNA is filed under the name Clostridium sp. The record is from RNAcentral. Lineage: Bacteria; Bacillati; Bacillota; Clostridia; Eubacteriales; Clostridiaceae. RNAcentral also lists the same sequence under 1 other name.
CUGGAAAAAAGGCGGUCUGGUACAGAAAAAUGAAAGACCGUCAGGGAAGUGGGGUGAAAAUCCCCCGCAGCUGCCUCUACUGUAAAAACGGGGACAAAGGACAAAAAAGUCACUGCGAAAGCGGGAAGACGUCCGGAGGAUGAACCAUAAGCCAGGAGACCGGCCGGAUGUCUGACAGAGGA